RNAcentral lists this ribosomal RNA (150 nucleotides) under uncultured bacterium. Its description in RNAcentral is "partial 16S ribosomal RNA". It matches the Rfam family "Bacterial small subunit ribosomal RNA", at positions 373 to 538 of the family's 1533-position model. The record is from RNAcentral.
AGGCGCAGCCUGAUGCGCGACGCCGCGUGAGGGAUGACGGCCUUCGGGUUGUAAACCUCUUUCAGGUAGGGAAGAAGCGAAAGUGACGGUACCUGCAGAAGAAGCGCCGGCUAACUACGUGCCAGCAGCCGCGGUAAUAACGUAGGUAAA